RNAcentral lists this ribosomal RNA (407 nucleotides) under uncultured bacterium. Its description in RNAcentral is "partial 16S ribosomal RNA". It matches the Rfam family "Bacterial small subunit ribosomal RNA", at positions 30 to 526 of the family's 1533-position model. The record is from RNAcentral.
AUUGAACGCUGGCGGCAGGCCUAACACAUGCAAGUCGAGCGGCGCGCCGGACGGGCGAGUAUUGCCUAGGAAUCUGCCUGGUAGUGGGGGAUAACGUCAGGCAACGGGCGCUCAUACUGCCCACUAUCAGAUGAGCAUAGGUCGGAUUAGCUAGUUGGUGUGGUAAAGGCCUACACAGGCGACGAUCCGUAGCUGGUCUGAGAGGAUGAUCAGUCACACUUGAACUGAGAAACGGUCCAGACUCCUACGGGAGGCAGCAGUGGGGAAUAUUGGAUAAUGGGCGAAAGCCGGAGGCAGCCAUGCCGCGUGUGUGAAGAAGGGCUUAGGUUUGUAAAGCACUUUAAGUUGGGAGGCGUUACCACCAGAAGAAGCACCGGCUAACUUCGUGCCAGCAGCCGCGGUAAUAC